AACGAACGCUGGCGGCAUGCCUAACACAUGCAAGUCGAACGAGACCUUCGGGUCUAGUGGCGCACGGGUGCGUAACGCGUGGGAACCUGCCCUUAGGUUCGGAAUAACUCCCCGAAAGGGGUGCUAAUACCGGAUAAUGUCUUCGGACCAAAGAUUUAUCGCCUUUGGAUGGGCCCGCGUUGGAUUAGCUAGUUGGUAGGGUAAAAGCCUACCAAGGCGACGAUCCAUAGCUGGUCUGAGAGGAUGAUCAGCCACACUGGGACUGAGACACGGCCCAGACUCCGACGGGAGGCAGCAGUAGGGAAUAUUGGACAAUGGGGGAAAGCCUGAUCCAGCAAUGCCGGGUGAGUGAUGAAGGCCUUAGGGUUGUAAAGCUCUUUUACCCGGGAUGAUAAUGACAGUACCGGGAGAAUAAGCUCCGGCUAACUACGUG
Molecule: ribosomal RNA, 433 nt
Filed under: uncultured bacterium
Lineage: Bacteria
Description: partial 16S ribosomal RNA
Rfam family: Bacterial small subunit ribosomal RNA
Source: RNAcentral